This 433-nucleotide ribosomal RNA is filed under the name uncultured bacterium. Its description in RNAcentral is "partial 16S ribosomal RNA". It matches the Rfam family "Bacterial small subunit ribosomal RNA", at positions 29 to 507 of the family's 1533-position model. The record is from RNAcentral.
AACGAACGCUGGCGGCAUGCCUAACACAUGCAAGUCGAACGAGACCUUCGGGUCUAGUGGCGCACGGGUGCGUAACGCGUGGGAACCUGCCCUUAGGUUCGGAAUAACUCCCCGAAAGGGGUGCUAAUACCGGAUAAUGUCCUCGGACCAAAGAUUUAUCGCCUUUGGAUGGGCCCGCGUUGGAUUAGCUAGUUGGUAGGGUAAAAGCCUACCAAGGCGACGAUCCAUAGCUGGUCUGAGAGGAUGAUCAGCCACACUGGGACUGAGACACGGCCCAGACUCCUACGGGAGGCAGCAGCGGGGAAUAUUGGACAAUGGGCGAAAGCCUGAUCCAGCAAUGCCGCGUGAGUGAUGAAGGCCUUAGGGUUGUAAAGCUCUUUUACCCGGGAUGAUAAUGACAGUACCGGGAGAAUAAGCUCCGGCUAACUCCGUG